AAAAAAGUUUUGACUAAGAAAGACGUUCAGUGAAAAUAUGAAUUGGUGCAGUCAACGGUUUCACAGUAAAAACACCACAAAUUUCAUUCAAGAAUACUAACAAAUUAGUUGCAAAAUAGUAUUAAAUUGUCGGUACAGGCGUAUCCAAU
Long non-coding RNA from Bradysia coprophila, 149 nucleotides. The record is from RefSeq and is a predicted model, not a curated record. Lineage: Eukaryota; Metazoa; Arthropoda; Insecta; Diptera; Sciaridae.